AGAGUUUGAUCAUGGCUCAGGAUGAACGCUGGCGGCGUGCCUAACACAUGCAAGUCGAGCGAUCUUCUUCGGAAGAGAGCGGCGGACGGGUGAGUAACGCGUGGGUAACCUGCCUCAUACACAUGGAUAACAUACCGAAAGGUAUGCUAAUACAAGAUGAUAUAAGAGAUUCGCAUGGAUUUCUUAUCAAAGCUCCGGCGGUAUGAGAUGGACCCGCGUCUGAUUAGCUAGUUGGUAAGGUAACGGCUUACCAAGGCGACGAUCAGUAGCCGACCUGAGAGGGUGAUCGGCCACAUUGGAACUGAGACACGGUCCAAACUCCUACGGGAGGCAGCAGUGGGGAAUAUUGCACAAUGGGCGAAAGCCUGAUGCAGCAACGCCGCGUGAGCGAUGAAGGCCUUCGGGUCGUAAAGCUCUGUCCUCAAGGAAGAUAAUGACGGUACUUGAGGAGGAAGCCCCGGCUAACUACGUGCCAGCAGCCGCGGUAAUACGUAGGGGGCUAGCGUUAUCCGGAUUUACUGGGCGUAAAGGGUGCGUAGGUGGUUUCUUAAGUCAGGAGUGAAAGGCUACGGCUCAACCGUAGUAAGCUCUUGAAACUGGGAAACUUGAGUGCAGGAGAGGAAAGUGGAAUUCCUAGUGUAGCGGUGAAAUGCGUAGAUAUUAGGAGGAACACCAGUAGCGAAGGCGGCUUUCUGGACUGUAACUGACACUGAGGCACGAAAGCGUGGGGAGCAAACAGGAUUAGAUACCCUGGUAGUCCACGCCGUAAACGAUGAGUACUAGGUGUCGGGGGUUACCCCCCUCGGUG
RNAcentral lists this ribosomal RNA (808 nucleotides) under uncultured bacterium. Its description in RNAcentral is "bacterial SSU rRNA". It matches the Rfam family "Bacterial small subunit ribosomal RNA", at positions 8 to 845 of the family's 1533-position model. The record is from RNAcentral.